RNAcentral lists this long non-coding RNA (216 nucleotides) under Elaeis guineensis (African oil palm). RNAcentral's name for it is "long non-coding RNA (EGUI_LNC031462)". Lineage: Eukaryota; Viridiplantae; Streptophyta; Magnoliopsida; Arecales; Arecaceae. The record is from RNAcentral.
CCUUUGCCUGAGUUCUCUUCAUAAGAAUCCAAGACCCUCUCAUUAUUACCAAAAUCUUCCUUUAUUGUAUUCUUUUUUACAUGAAGAUAAUCAGAUCCUACCUUUAUCUUUAUGGAUUAUUCAAAGAAAAGCGCUGCAAGAGAUUUAUAAUAGUUAUCUUUUAGUAUAUGAAAUUUGCAAUGUUUAACUUUUAGAGCCGGCAAACUUCUCAUACGC